CUACGGGAGGCAGCAGUAGGGAAUCUUCCGCAAUGGGCGAAAGCCUGACGGAGCAACGCCGCGUGAGUGAUGAAGGUCUUCGGAUCGUAAAACUCUGUUAUUAGGGAAGAACAUAUGUGUAAGUAACUGUGCACAUCUUGACGGUACCUAAUCAAAAAGCCACGGCUAACUACGUGCCAGCAGCCGCGGUAAUACGUAGGUGGCAAGCGUUAUCCGGAAUUAUUGGGCGUAAAGCGCGCGUAGGUGGUUUGUUAAGUCUGAUGUGAAAUCCCACGGCUCAACCGUGGAGGGUCAUUGGAAACUGGAAAACUUGAGUGCAGAAGAGGAAGGUGGAAUUCCAUGUGUAGCGGUGAAAUGCGCAGAGAUAUGGAGGAACACCAGUGGCGAAGGCGACUUUCUGGUCUGUAACUGACGCUGAUGUGCGAAAGCGUGGGGAUCAAACAGGAUUAGAUACCCUGGUAGUCC
Molecule: ribosomal RNA, 465 nt
Filed under: Staphylococcus aureus
Lineage: Bacteria; Bacillati; Bacillota; Bacilli; Caryophanales; Staphylococcaceae
Description: bacterial SSU rRNA
Rfam family: Bacterial small subunit ribosomal RNA
Source: RNAcentral